UGCCCACUGAUAAAUUAUUAAAGGGCUGCAGUAAUUUGACUGUACAAAGGUAGCAUAAUCAUUAGUCAUUUAAUUGAUGACUUGUAUGAAAGAUUGGAUGAAAUAUAAACUGUCUUAUAAAUAAAUUAUAAAAUUUAAUUUUUUAGUUAAAAAGCUAAAAUAAAUUAAAAAGACGAGAAGACCCUAUAGAGUUUUAUUUUUAAUUUUAUUUUAAUUAUUUAUAAAAAUAUAUUAUAAUAAUUCAUUAAAAUAAAAUUAAAAAUUUUAUUGGGGUGAUAGAAAAAUGAAAUUAACUUUUUUUUUAUUUAAAACAUAAAUAAAUGAUUAAAUGAUCCAAUUUUAUUGAUUAUAAGAAAAAAUUACCUUAGGGAUAACAGCGUAAUUUUAUUUUUUAGUUCAAAUAAAAAUUAAAGUUUGCGACCUCGAUGUUGGAUUAAGAUAAAAUUUAAAUGUAGAAGUUUAAAAUUUUGA
Molecule: ribosomal RNA, 471 nt
Filed under: Olapa cf. tavetensis M6
Lineage: Eukaryota; Metazoa; Arthropoda; Insecta; Lepidoptera; Erebidae
Description: partial large subunit ribosomal RNA
Source: RNAcentral